GAUUGUGGAGGUUUUUCCAGGGGUUGGUUCAGUGACUCACGCCCCUAUCCUACUUUUUGUGGAGACUUGAAGAAAAGGCAACGUUAUUCAAAGAAAUUGUAAUAUUACUUUUCAAAAUGAAUAUUCAAAGACCUUCAUGAAUUUUGUAAAUGGUGAAAUAUUUUUGCCCAAGAUAGAAGUCUUUUUGGGAAUUUUCUGCGAAGAGCUGUUGGAAAUUAAAAUCUUAUAAAGAAGUUACGAAAAUGGUAAUGUUUUUUUUGGAUUCAUUGUACUUUUGUUAUCCUCAAUGUGAGUUAAACACGCCAAAUAAAUGAAUUAUUUUGUUGUAUUUUAUUAAGUUUAACAAUACUUUUUAAGAAUUUCUUAGACACCGAAUACAGAACCCACCAACACACCCAGCAGAACCCUCCACUCGACCCAAGGGGCGGUGGCAUUCCUCCCAGCCGCCCAAGUGGUUCCCCAGAAGUGGCGCUUAACUAAUUUGAUUCAUUCUUAUUACGCAGUCAGCGCUCGACUGCACUUGACCCUCGGCAAUUUGCGUCAAUGUCAACGCCCAACCCCCAUCCACCACCCCUGGGCCGCGGCGGCCGGCUGGGGUGGGCAAUUACCGUUGUGGGGGCAACGAUUGCGACGAUUGCUGGCUGCAGCAACGGCCUUGAACAUCCAGAGCCAACGAAUGACCUUUCAAUGCAGCGCAUCGCCCCGUCUCUUUCCGGGGUUUCAUCCAACUGAACCCGUUACUAAAAAUAAGCUCGAUGGAAAAGCUCGCCGGCUGAAGGUCAAAAAACCCACCCGGCAGUGCCUGGCCGGCAGUGCCUCCCCCUGUGUCGAGUGGGGCACAUGCAACGGCCGCGUGCGCAAGUUCAAGUGCAAGGACUAUUGCACCACGACCUCCCCGCGCCACCCACUCGGCGAGCGGUGACCUUGCCGUACACCUCGCUGCAUUGACGUACCGCACGGUCACGGCCAUGGCCACCGACGUUGGGAGCGGUUGUGGCAUCUGAAGCCCACGGAAAAUAGCUAAAACGCUUCUUCUACUAAUACCGAAAAGUGUGAAUACUUUGAAUUGUCUUCCUACAAUCAGCACUGAAGGUUUUAUUAAAGGGUUUCACACCUCUUUACUCGGUUUUAGGGUUUUAAAGUACAUACGUUUAUGAGCAUACACAUAUUAAUAAUCAUAAGUUUGCUAGUUCCAACAAAAAAUGAUAUGGUGGAGCAGUUAUUUUAAGGACAGCUGCGGCCUUUCAUAAAACAGGAGCUUAUUUAACUUCACCUACACUAAGUAAAUAUAUUGAAAAUGGUUAAUAUUCCAUUCCAUUUUUUUCUAUUAAAAAUGAUUAUAAAAAAUUUGUUAUCAUAGAUUUUGGAUUUUACUGAUCUAAAACAAUAAGUAAGGUAAUGAGUAAGGUCACGUAAUGGAAAAAAAGAGCAUG
Molecule: long non-coding RNA, 1433 nt
Organism: Drosophila biarmipes
Lineage: Eukaryota; Metazoa; Arthropoda; Insecta; Diptera; Drosophilidae
Exons: 3
Source: RefSeq, a predicted model, not a curated record